AUUGAACGCUGGCGGCAGGCCUAACACAUGCAAGUCGAGCGGAUGAAGGGAGCUUGCUCCUGGAUUCAGCGGCGGACGGGUGAGUAAUGCCUAGGAAUCUGCCUGGUAGUGGGGGAUAACGUCCGGAAACGGGCGCUAAUACCGCAUACGUCCUGAGGGAGAAAGUGGGGGAUCUUCGGACCUCACGCUAUCAGAUGAGCCUAGGUCGGAUUAGCUAGUUGGUGGGGUAAAGGCCUACCAAGGCGACGAUCCGUAACUGGUCUGAGAGGAUGAUCAGUCACACUGGAACUGAGACACGGUGCAGGCUCGUACGGGAGGCAGCAGUGGGGAAUAUUGGACAAUGGGCGAAAGCCUGAUCCAGCCAUGCCGCGUGUGUGAAGAAGGUCUUCGGAUUGUAAAGCACUUUAAGGUGGGAGGAAGGGCAGUAAGUUAAUACCUUGCUGUUUUGACGUUACCAACAGAAUAAGCACCGGCUAACUUCGUG
This 484-nucleotide ribosomal RNA is filed under the name uncultured bacterium. RNAcentral describes it as "partial 16S ribosomal RNA". It matches the Rfam family "Bacterial small subunit ribosomal RNA", at positions 30 to 507 of the family's 1533-position model. The record is from RNAcentral.